Molecule: ribosomal RNA, 253 nt
Filed under: uncultured bacterium
Lineage: Bacteria
Description: partial 16S ribosomal RNA
Rfam family: Bacterial small subunit ribosomal RNA
Source: RNAcentral
UACGUAGGUGGCAAGCGUUGUCCGGAUUUAUUGGGUUUAAAGGGUGCGUAGGUGGCCCUGUAAGUCAGUGGUGAAAUCUCUCAGCUUAACUGAGAGGGUGCCAUUGAUACUGCAGGGCUUGAGUACAGAUGAGGUAGGCGGAAUUGACGGUGUAGCGGUGAAAUGCAUAGAUAUCGUCAAGAACACCGAUAGCGAAGGCAGCUUACCAAGCUGUAACUGACACUGAGGCACGAAAGUGUGGGGAUCAAACAGG